This is a non-coding RNA of Ictidomys tridecemlineatus (thirteen-lined ground squirrel), 73 nucleotides long. The record is from Rfam. NCBI's taxonomy places the organism in Eukaryota, Metazoa, Chordata, Mammalia, Rodentia, Sciuridae.
GGGGAUAUAGCUAAGUUGGUAGAGUACUUGCCUCACAUGCACAAGGCCCUGGGUUCAAUCCCCAGUACCACCA